CCUACGGGAGGCAGCAGUGAGGAAUAUUGGUCAAUGGGCGAGAGCCUGAACCAGCCAAGUCGCGUGAGGGAGUACUGCCCUAUGGGUUGUAAACCUCUUUUGUCGGGGAGCAAAAGCCGGACGUGUCCGGCUGUGAGAGUACCCGAAGAAAAAGCAGCGGCUAACUCCGUGCCAGCAGCCGCGGUAAUACGGAGGAUGCGAGCGUUAUCCGGAUUUAUUGGGGUUAAAGGGUGCGCAGGCGGAUUUUUAAGUCAGCGGUCAAAUCGUGGGGCUCAACCCCAUCCAGCCGUUGAAACUGGGGAUCUAGAGUGUGCGAGAGGUAUGCGGAAUGCGUGGUGUAGCGGUGAAAUGCAUAGAUAUCACGCAGAACCCCGAUUGCGAAGGCAGCAUACCGGUGCACAACUGACGCUCAGGCACGAACGCGUGGGUAUCGAACAGGAUUAGAUACCCCUGUAGUC
This 458-nucleotide ribosomal RNA is filed under the name uncultured bacterium. Its description in RNAcentral is "partial 16S ribosomal RNA". It matches the Rfam family "Bacterial small subunit ribosomal RNA", at positions 338 to 795 of the family's 1533-position model. The record is from RNAcentral.